Molecule: ribosomal RNA, 254 nt
Filed under: uncultured bacterium
Lineage: Bacteria
Description: partial 16S ribosomal RNA
Rfam family: Bacterial small subunit ribosomal RNA
Source: RNAcentral
UACGUAGGCAGCGAGCGUUGUUCGGAGUUACUGGGCGUAAAGGGUGUGUAGGCGGUUGUUUAAGUUUGGUGUGAAAUCUCCCGGCUCAACUGGGAGGGUGCGCCGAAUACUGAAUGACUUGGAGUGCGGGAGAGGUGAGUGGAAUUCCUGGUGUAGCGGUGAAAUGCGUAGAUAUCAGGAGGAACACCAAUGGCGAAGGCAGCUCGCUGGUCCGGUACUGACGCUGAGGUGCGAAAGCGUGGGGAGCAAACAGG